This 542-nucleotide ribosomal RNA is filed under the name Stenotrophomonas maltophilia. RNAcentral describes it as "bacterial SSU rRNA". It matches the Rfam family "Bacterial small subunit ribosomal RNA", at positions 9 to 540 of the family's 1533-position model. Lineage: Bacteria; Pseudomonadati; Pseudomonadota; Gammaproteobacteria; Lysobacterales; Lysobacteraceae. The record is from RNAcentral.
GAGUUUGAUCCUGGCUCAGAGUGAACGCUGGCGGUAGGCCUAACACAUGCAAGUCGAACGGCAGCACAGGAGAGCUUGCUCUCUGGGUGGCGAGUGGCGGACGGGUGAGGAAUACAUCGGAAUCUACUCUGUCGUGGGGGAUAACGUAGGGAAACUUACGCUAAUACCGCAUACGACCUACGGGUGAAAGCAGGGGACCUUCGGGCCUUGCGCGAUUGAAUGAGCCGAUGUCGGAUUAGCUAGUUGGCGGGGUAAAGGCCCACCAAGGCGACGAUCCGUAGCUGGUCUGAGAGGAUGAUCAGCCACACUGGAACUGAGACACGGUCCAGACUCCUACGGGAGGCAGCAGUGGGGAAUAUUGGACAAUGGGCGCAAGCCUGAUCCAGCCAUACCGCGUGGGUGAAGAAGGCCUUCGGGUUGUAAAGCCCUUUUGUUGGGAAAGAAAUCCAGCUGGCUAAUACCCGGUUGGGAUGACGGUACCCAAAGAAUAAGCACCGGCUAACUUCGUGCCAGCAGCCGCGGUAAUACGAAGGGUGCAAGCG